GCGGCGGUAGCUCAGUUGGUAGAGCGCAAGCUUCCCAAGCUUGAGGUCGCGGGUUCGACCCCCGUCCGCCGCU
Molecule: transfer RNA, 73 nt
Filed under: Solirubrobacterales bacterium 70-9
Lineage: Bacteria; Bacillati; Actinomycetota; Thermoleophilia; Solirubrobacterales
Also listed under: 5 other names
Description: tRNA-Gly
Rfam family: tRNA
About the family: Transfer RNA (tRNA) molecules are approximately 80 nucleotides in length. Their secondary structure includes four short double-helical elements and three loops (D, anti-codon, and T loops).
Source: RNAcentral